AGCGAACGCUGGCGGCAGGCCUAACACAUGCAAGUCGAACGAACCUUUCGGGGUUAGUGGCGGACGGGUGAGUAACCCGUGGGAACGUGCCUUUAGGUUCGGAAUAACUCAGGGAAACUUGUGCUAAUACCGAAUGUGCCCUUCGGGGGAAAGAUUUAUCGCCUUUAGAGCGGCCCGCGUCUGAUUAGCUAGUUGGUUGAGGUAAUGGCUCACCAAGGCGACGAUCAGUAGCUGGUCUGAGAGGAUGAUCAGCCACAUUGGGACUGAGACACGGCCCAAACUCCUACGGGAGGCAGCAGUGGGGAAUCUUGCGCAAUGGGCGAAAGCCUGACGCAGCCAUGCCGCGUGAAUGAUGAAGGUCUUAGGAUUGUAAAAUUCUUUCACCGGGGACGAUAAUGACGGUACCCGGAGAAGAAGCCCCGGCUAACUUCGUG
RNAcentral lists this ribosomal RNA (434 nucleotides) under uncultured bacterium. Its description in RNAcentral is "partial 16S ribosomal RNA". It matches the Rfam family "Bacterial small subunit ribosomal RNA", at positions 29 to 507 of the family's 1533-position model. The record is from RNAcentral.